CUUCAUACAUAGAGACUUCGUCGACUACGGAGGGACUUCGUCGACUACGGAGGGACUUCGCCGACUGUAGAGAGCCGUCGCCGCCGCGUAUCGCCAUCUCCAGGCCGCCGUCGGUAAUUGCUCCAGGCUGCCGUCUCGGGUCUAGACCCUAGAGUCCAGAGUCCGCCGUGGCUCCAGGCCGCCGUCGCGAGUCCAGGCCUCCGUCGCGAGUCCAGGCCUCCAGGCCGUUGUCGCGAAUCCAGAUAGCCGUCGAGGUAUUGCGCUCUGUAUGUUUGGGGUGCUAUUUGGAGAAGGAGCUGAGAAGAAGGCUAGGAUUAGGGGGAAUCAUACUCUAGAAGUGCUGUGAACCAGAAUGUUCAGAGCUUUGAUUUCUUUGAGAGCGCGCAAUAGUUGUGAUCGUCUCUAUGUUCUUCAUGGACACAUUCUUGUUUAUCAUAUGAAGAGGAAAUUGUGGUGAGUCCAAAUGUUGCUGACUUUGCAAUGUUGUGCUCAGGAUCCAAAGGGGAUGCUUGAAGAAUUGGAGAAGGCAAUUGCUAGAAGUGAGUUCCAACAAGUUGAUUAUGACAAAGCGGUUAUUGAUCUGAUGCGUUCAGAAUGGGCCAAUAUUCUAUCAAGUUAUAUAGAGUAGGUAUGAUUUGACGUUGUAAUCAUUUAGACUUGGUUCGUAGAAUUUUUUUUUGUAGUAUUAUGACUUGGAUGAUGAUUCGAUUAGAAUUGGUAAUGAAAGUAUUAUGACUUGUUAUUUUAAACAUUGCUUAGCUUCUUCAAAAUUAUGUAACUACACUUGGCCAUGGUGAAUGGAUAAAUUGAUU
Long non-coding RNA from Ipomoea nil (Japanese morning glory), 812 nucleotides. RefSeq lists it as uncharacterized. Lineage: Eukaryota; Viridiplantae; Streptophyta; Magnoliopsida; Solanales; Convolvulaceae. The transcript has 5 exons. The record is from RefSeq and is a predicted model, not a curated record.